GCGGAGGGAUCAUUACCGAGUUUACAACUCCCAAACCCCUGUGAACAUACCAAUUGUUGCCUCGGCGGAUCAGCCCGCUCCCGGUAAAACGGGACGGCCCGCCAGAGGACCCCUAAACUCUGUUUCUAUAUGUAACUUCUGAGUAAAACCAUAAAUAAAUCAAAACUUUCAACAACGGAUCUCUUGGUUCUGGCAUCGAUGAAGAACGCAGCAAAAUGCGAUAAGUAAUGUGAAUUGCAGAAUUCAGUGAAUCAUCGAAUCUUUGAACGCACAUUGCGCCCGCCAGUAUUCUGGCGGGCAUGCCUGUUCGAGCGUCAUUUCAACCCUCAAGCCCCCGGGUUUGGUGUUGGGGAUCGGCGAGCCCUUGCGGCAAGCCGGCCCCGAAAUCUAGUGGCGGUCUCGCUGCAGCUUCCAUUGCGUAGUAGUAAAACCCUCGCAACUGGUACGCGGCGCGGCCAAGCCGUUAAACCCCCAACUUCUGAAUGUUGACCUCGGAUCAGGUAGGAAUACCCGCUGAACUUAAGCAUAUCAAUAAGCGGAGGAAAAGAAACCAACAGGGAUUGCCCUAGUAACGGCGAGUGAAGCGGCAACAGCUCAAAUUUGAAAUCUGGCUCUCGGGCCCGAGUUGUAAUUUGUAGAGGAUACUUUUGAUGCGGUGCCUUCCGAGUUCCCUGGAACGGGACGCCAUAGAGGGUGAGAGCCCCGUCUGGUUGGAUGCCAAAUCUCUGUAAAGUUC
Molecule: ribosomal RNA, 736 nt
Filed under: fungal sp.
Lineage: Eukaryota; Fungi
Description: eukaryotic LSU rRNA
Rfam family: Eukaryotic large subunit ribosomal RNA (bases 487-736)
Source: RNAcentral